This 960-nucleotide ribosomal RNA is filed under the name uncultured organism. RNAcentral's name for it is "bacterial SSU rRNA". It matches the Rfam family "Bacterial small subunit ribosomal RNA", at positions 470 to 1428 of the family's 1533-position model. The record is from RNAcentral.
UGACGGUACCCUACUAGAAAGGAGCCGCUAACUUCGUGCCAGAAGCGUCGGUAAUACGGGGGCUCCAAGCGUUAUCCGGUGUUAUUGGGCGUAAAGAGUCGUGUAGGUGGUUGGGUAAGUUAUCUUUCAAAUAUCUUUGCUUAACAAAGAGGAGGGGGAUAAUACUGCUCGACUAGAAUUUUCUCAAGGGAGAUCGGAACUGAGGGAGGAGUAGUGAAAUGCGUUGAUACCCUCGGGAACACCAGUGGCGUAGGCGGAUCUCCGGGAGAAGAUUGACACUGAGACACGAAAGCUAGGGGAGCGAAGCAGAUUAGAGACCUGCGUAGUCCUAGCCGUAAACGCAUGCUUGCUAGCUGCAUGAAUCUACCUUCGGGUGGUAUCGUGUGGCGAAGGUAACCCGUUAAGCAAGCCGCCUGGAAAGUACGGCCGCAAGGCUGAAAUUCAAAGGAAUUGGCGGGGAGGCACACAACCAGUGGAACAUGUGGUUUAAUUCGAGACUAACCGAAGAACCUCACCAGGGUUUGACAUGUAGCUGCACGUCUUAAGAAAUUAAGACUCUCUUGAAGGUGCUACACAGGUGCUGCAUGGCUGUCGUCAGCUCGUUCCGUGAGGAGUGCCCUUAAGUGGGACAACGAGCGCAACCCCUAUUACAUGUUAGAAAUGUCAUGUAAGACUGCCUUGCCAUUUGGCGGGGAGGAAGGAGGGGCAGACGUCAAGUCCGCAUGGUCCUUAUGCCCUGGGCUACACACAUGUUACAAUGAGUACGGCAAUGAGUCUGUCGCGAGCACGUAAGUGUAAGCUAAUCUCUUAAAUGUACUCUCAGUGGGGAUUGAGGUCUGCAACUCGACCUCAUGAACACGGAAUUGGUAGUAAUCGCGGGUCAGCUAUACCGCGGUGAUACGUUCUUGCCUCUUGCACACACCGCCCGUCAAACCAGCAAAGUCGAUUGUAUCCGAACCU